UACGUAGGUGGCAAGCGUUAUCCGGAUUUAUUGGGCGUAAAGGGAACGCAGGCGGUCUUUUAAGUCUGAUGUGAAAGCCUUCGGCUUAACCGGAGUAGUGCAUUGGAAACUGGGAGACUUGAGUGCAGAAGAGGAGAGUGGAACUCCAUGUGUAGCGGUGAAAUGCGUAGAUAUAUGGAAGAACACCAGUGGCGAAAGCGGCUCUCUGGUCUGUAACUGACGCUGAGGUUCGAAAGCGUUGGUAGCAAACAGG
RNAcentral lists this ribosomal RNA (253 nucleotides) under uncultured bacterium. RNAcentral describes it as "partial 16S ribosomal RNA". It matches the Rfam family "Bacterial small subunit ribosomal RNA", at positions 524 to 776 of the family's 1533-position model. The record is from RNAcentral.